This 45-nucleotide ribosomal RNA is filed under the name Trichoderma asperellum. RNAcentral describes it as "partial 28S ribosomal RNA". The record is from RNAcentral. Lineage: Eukaryota; Fungi; Ascomycota; Sordariomycetes; Hypocreales; Hypocreaceae.
UUGACCUCGAUCAGUAGAUACCCACUCAACUUAAGCAUAUCAAAA